UAUUCUCACACACUUUAAAGAUGAUCAAGUUUAUCACAACCCAAAUUAUUUUUUCAACAGCCACCUAUGAGUAUUUUCUCAUGUCUGAACAAUGGCCACCAUCAGUUUGCAAAAAUGGAGAAUGUGUUUCCCAAAAGCGUCCCAAACAUAUUUAAGAUUCAUGGUCUGUGGCCUACAAAUUCAAGCAGACCUUAUCCCGAGAUCCAAGUUCGAGACUUUGGGAAUAUGAAUGGAAUAAACAUGGAACAUGUCCAUUACACAAGAGGAUUGAACCUGCAGGAAUGGUGUGUAUUUUAGUGGAGAUAAUACAAAAGUUGUCCUAGUGAUAUUCGGAAGAGUCUAUGUACAAAUAAUGAUAUCACACUACCUAUUUAAUAUCAUGAACAACGAAAAUAAUAGAAAUAAGGUUGGCAUCAUUUUAUUUGGUGGAAUGAGUGUCCUAAACUUGUACUAUAUGCAUGCAUGUUUAUGUCUUGC
RNAcentral lists this long non-coding RNA (477 nucleotides) under Lathyrus oleraceus (garden pea). RNAcentral's name for it is "Pisum sativum (pea) long non-coding RNA (PSAT_LNC000508)". The record is from RNAcentral. Lineage: Eukaryota; Viridiplantae; Streptophyta; Magnoliopsida; Fabales; Fabaceae.